CUCGUCCGGUGGCCUUCCAGAAACCGGCAGCCGUCGCCCGGUUUGUCCGUGUCCCCGUCGGAUACUUCUUGUCUUUGUGGCUGAAGAAGUACCAGUCAUUCUGUGGGGUGGACCCUAUUUUGCAUUUCUCUGCAAAUUAAGGGCCAGCUUCUUCCGGAGGUAAUAUUGCAGGAGUUCCUCUUCGGUGGGGUGGAAACGGAAGCCUGGAGGCACCUUGGAAUGUCCGUUCACGGACAAACUCAUGUCCUCUGACAUUAUGCCAAUAUCCUUGGGACAGACAAUGAUGGGGGGCUUUGGCUUUCGUGGGAAAGAAACACGUGUCGUCCUUAUAUUAUUACAUACCCAUCGUACAUAUACAAAUGUACGUCUCAACUCAGAUUCUUGAAGGAGACAUACGACCGCUUGUUUCUUUACAACCAUCAAAAUUUGUAUGUAAGAUGUGUAUUGGAUAUAUACAUGCAGGUACGAUAUC
Sesamum indicum (sesame) is the source of this 472-nucleotide long non-coding RNA. RefSeq lists it as uncharacterized. The record is from RefSeq and is a predicted model, not a curated record. Lineage: Eukaryota; Viridiplantae; Streptophyta; Magnoliopsida; Lamiales; Pedaliaceae.